This 254-nucleotide small nuclear RNA is filed under the name Castor canadensis (American beaver). RNAcentral's name for it is "7SK RNA (ENSCCNG00000006426.1)". It matches the Rfam family "7SK RNA", at positions 52 to 331 of the family's 331-position model. Rfam says of the family: 7SK was discovered as an abundant small nuclear RNA in the mid-70s but a possible function has only recently been suggested. Two independent studies have found that 7SK RNA binds the CDK9/cyclin T complex (known as elongation factor P-TEFb). P-TEFb activates transcription by phosphorylating the C-terminal domain of RNA polymerase II. Lineage: Eukaryota; Metazoa; Chordata; Mammalia; Rodentia; Castoridae. The record is from Rfam by way of RNAcentral.
GGAGGUGAGGGUGAUCUAGCUGGCUAGGUGGUAUCCCCUUCCUCCCUCAGUGCUCCAUGUGAGGUGCUGUGGAAAGCUGUGUGCUCAAAGAGGAUAACCUUCCCCGAUAGAGCCCAUUCUUCAGUCAAGGGUAUACUAGUACCUGCGCUCCCCUAUUAGAACCUCCAAACAAGCUCUCAAGGUCCAAGGGGGACUGGUUCCAGGAACCCCUUGCAGAUACUUAGGGAAAAUAACCUACACAUAUCUUUCCAUAA